This 973-nucleotide long non-coding RNA is filed under the name Nicotiana benthamiana. Its description in RNAcentral is "long non-coding RNA (NBEN_LNC022266)". The record is from RNAcentral. Lineage: Eukaryota; Viridiplantae; Streptophyta; Magnoliopsida; Solanales; Solanaceae.
CUAAAAGAAUCAAGAAGGAUAUACAUGUGGUGCUUUAGUUAUCACAUUGAAUUAAAUAACAGAAAGUGAAGGGGAUAUUCGUUACGGGGGAAACUGCUUUUCUUUCCUCCUUUGACACACAAAUUGAAAUUAAAGAUUACAUCAUUUGCCAAGUUAGAGGUGAGAUAGGCAGUCUUUUCUUUCAUUCUUUGACACACAAAUUGAAAUUAAAGAUUACAUCAAUUGCCAAGUUAGAGGUGAGAUACAGGAUAAGAAUGCUAGAGAAACUGGAGCUGUGGAAAAAAGAUCCAUUAGUCCAACCACAGUGGUUUCGAAGGGAACUGAAAUCUGAACUAAUUCCAUGACAUUUCUUUCCAUGGUUUCAUUUAGUGAAUUUACACCAAUUCAAAUGCCUCACCUCAAAAUUUCAAAAAAAAAACUUCCAUGGUAUUGGGUUCUUAAGCUUGAAACAAUAUUUUGAAACGUCUUUUCGAGUUAAGACCGCAGAGAACUACGGUAUUUAGCCAUAGGCAAAAGACUUGCAAGGCAUACAUCUUCUGCGCCAGGUACUUGCGCAGCAAGUUCUACAUUUUUCAUUCAACUCAAUAUCCCAUGCUAUGCUUCAUUGUUCAGAACAGAUACAGGGAUAACUUACUAGGGCAAGAUAGCUGCUCCAAAAACUCCGUCCACUUCUAAUUGUGCACUGCGACUCUGUAUUGCAACUAGAAGUAAGACAUGGCUUCGUUUCUCGAUCUUCUACGUUGGUUUUCUAGCAAACCCUAAUGUUAUCAACACACACAGACACAGUAUACAUUGUUACUGUAUCACCCAUGCCGUGCUUAUCAUCACAUGUUAGUAUGUGCCCCUCAUCAGAUUAUGACACGUGCCAAUCUAGCAGUAAAGGUAUGACCUCAAUUAAGAUAUCCAAGAAUGCUAGACACCAACUACUAGCUCACACAUUCUUCCAUCGUUAUUGAACAUGUAUCCACGUACA